Molecule: transfer RNA, 73 nt
Filed under: Ovis aries (sheep)
Lineage: Eukaryota; Metazoa; Chordata; Mammalia; Artiodactyla; Bovidae
Rfam family: tRNA
About the family: Transfer RNA (tRNA) molecules are approximately 80 nucleotides in length. Their secondary structure includes four short double-helical elements and three loops (D, anti-codon, and T loops). Further hydrogen bonds mediate the characteristic L-shaped molecular structure. tRNAs have two regions of fundamental functional importance: the anti-codon, which is responsible for specific mRNA codon recognition, and the 3' end, to which the tRNAs corresponding amino acid is attached (by aminoacyl-tRNA synthetases). tRNAs cope with the degeneracy of the genetic code in two manners: having more than one tRNA (with a specific anti-codon) for a particular amino acid; and 'wobble' base-pairing, i.e. permitting non-standard base-pairing at the 3rd anti-codon position.
Source: Rfam by way of RNAcentral
UUCCUGGAGGUCAAGUGUUUAAGACACUGCACUCCCAGUGCAGAGGGCAUGGGUUUGAUCCCUGGUCAGGAAA